This 3982-nucleotide long non-coding RNA is filed under the name Sus scrofa (pig). Its description in RNAcentral is "lncRNA (ENSSSCG00000055975.1)". Lineage: Eukaryota; Metazoa; Chordata; Mammalia; Artiodactyla; Suidae. The record is from RNAcentral.
CAAAAAAAUUGCAAGUGGCCAAUAUGCACAUGAAAAUGAUGUUGAGCAUCAUUAGUCAUUAGGGAAAUACAAUUCAAAACUACAAUGAGCUACCUACCACUUUACCACUUCACACCUUCUGGGAUAGCUAUAAAACCAACAGCAAGAAAUAGAAAAUAACAGGUGUUGGCAAGGAUGUGGAGAAGUUGGAAUGCUCAUGUAUUGCUGGUAGGAACAUAAAUGCUGCUGUGGAAAAGAGCUUGGCUGUUCCUCAAUAGGUGAAACAUAGGAUUACCAUGUAAGUCAGAAAUUCCACUCUUAGGUAAAAAAAUUACACAUGAAUGUUCAUAGCCAAAAGAUGGAAACAACUUAAAUGUCCAUCAGGUGAUAAAUGGAUAAACAAAAUGUGGUAUAUAUAUCCAUAUGAUGGAACACUUCUUAUUCCAGUGUGCUAUAACACGGAUGAACCCAGCAAAUAUGCUUAGUGAAAGAAGCCCGACACAAAAGGCCUGUAUUGUAUGAUUAUGUUCAUCUGAAAUAUCCAGAAUAGGUAAAUCCAUAGAAAUAGAAAGCAUAUUCAUAGUUGCCAUGGGCUGGGAGAAGGAGAGAAAUGGGCAUGACUGCUUAAAGAUUAUGAGGUUUCCUUUUGUGAUGCUGAAAGUGUUCUGGAAUUAGAUAGUGGUGAAGAUUACACAGUACUGUGAACGUACUAAAUGCCACUGAAUUGUACACUUUAAAAUAGUUAAAAUGAUGAAAUUUAUGUUAUGUGAAUUUUACUAUAAUAAAAAAGCACAUUACAAAAUAAUAGGUAUAGUUAGUUUUGUUUUUCCAGAUGUAUAUGCAUAGGAAGAAAAGUGAGAAAGAUAAAUAUCAAUCUAUUCUGUUUGUUUAUGGUGUCAUUUAGGACUAAUGUUCUAAUUUUUCUACAAUAAUCCUAGAUUACUUGAGCCCUUUUAAAAACAUGCUCUAGAGUUAAGGAUCCAGCAUUGCCAAGGUGUAGGUCGCAGAUGUGGCUUAGAUCCAGUGUUGCCAUGGCUGUGGUGUAGACCUGUAGCUGCAGCUCCAAUUUGACCCCUAGCCUGAGAACUUCCAUAUGCCACAGGUGCAGCCAUAAAAACAAAACAAAACAAAACAUGCUGUAGAACAAUAUUUAAUGAAAUAGAGGAAUGUUCAUCAUAUAUUCAUAUAUUAUUUAAUCAAACCAGUAUACUUGUUUUUUAAAAACACUCAAUUUUUUAAGAGCAAUUUUAGGUUUACCACAAAACCAAGAGGGAGGUACAGAGGUUUCCCAUAUACUCCCUGCCCAACACAUGCAUAGCUUCCUCCAUUAUUAACAUCAUUCACCAGAAUGGUACUUUUUUUUAAUGGUGACAGAUGUUAACUAGAUUUGUUGUGAUCAUUUAGCAAUAUAUACAAAUAUUGAAUCAUUAGGCUGUACAGCUGUAACUAAUAUAUUGUUAUGUCAGUUAUACCUCAAAUUCUUUCUUAUUUUUAAUUUUUAUUUAUUUUUAAAAGGAAUUUAUUUUCUUUUUUCUUUUUUUUAGGGUCGCACCUGCAGCAUUUGGAGGUUCCCGGCCUAGGAAUCGAAUUGGAGCCAUAGCUGCCGGCCUAUGCCACAGCCAUGGCAACAUCAAAUCCCAGCCACAUCUGUCACCUACACUACAGCUUGUGGCAAUGCCAGAUCCUUUAACCCACUGAGCAAGGCUGGGGAUUGAACCCACAUCCUUGUGGAUACUAGUUGGGUUAUUAACCCACUGAGGCACAAUGGGAAUUAGAUGGGAAUUCCUUUUUUAUUGAAGUAUAAUUGAUGUAUAAUACUAUAUAAAUUAUAAGUGUACAAUAUAGUAAUUUACAAUUUGAAAGUUUAUAUUCUAUUUAUAGUUACUAUAAAAUAUUCUCAAUAUUCCCUGUGUAGUACAAUAUUACCUUGUAUUUUAUACCUAAUAGUUUGUACCUCUUAAUCCCCUAACCUAUCUUGCCCCUCUCCUCUUCCCUCUCCCCUGUGGUAAUUCCUAGUUUGUUUUCCAUGUCUGUGAGUCUGGUUCUUUUCUGUUAUUUUUACUACUUUUGUUGUAUUUUUUAGAUUCCACAUAUAAAUAAUAUCAUGCAGUAUUUAUCUUUCUCUGCUUGACUUAUUUCACUCAGCAUAAUGCCCUCCAAAUCCAUUCGUGUUGCAGCAAAUGACAAAUUUUUAUUUUUAUUUUUUAUGGCUGAGUAGUAUCCCAUUAUAUAUAUCACAUCUUUAUCCAUUCAUCUGUUGAUGGACACUUAGUUUGCUUCUGUAUCUUGGAAAUUACAAAUAAUGCUGCUAUGAACAUUAGGAUGCAUCCAAACCAGCAUAUUUGAAUGAUCCCAAUUUUAUUGUAAAAACACAUAUACUGCAUGGGACAAAAACCAAUUGGAAGUAUAUAUGUCAACAUAUUAAUGGCUUAAUGGCUAUACUUCAAUGGGGUGAUUAUAGGUGAAUUUCACUUACUUUUCUUUUUUGGCCACCGCACGGCAUAUGGAAUUCAUGGGAUAGGAAGAACAGAGCCAAGCCACAGCUAUGGCAACUUGGGAUCCUUAACCCACUGUGCUGGGCCAGGGAUAGAACCUGCAUCUCAGCACUCCAGAGACGCUGCCGAUCCCAUUGUGCCACAGUAGGAACUCCAAUUUUAUUAACUUUUUAAAAACACAUUUUCAAAAUUCUUCCAGUAAAUAUACAUGUAAAAUCUUCACAAUCUGAGUUUUAAGUAGAACUUUAACAUUUUCCUGCAGGAGACAUGAGCAUCACAGUAGUAUGAUAAGCUCCCUUUGUCUCUCCCCUUCAAUCUAUAACUAGUAAAACAUCCAUAACUCAAGAAAAGUUCCCCACCCAACACACCAGGAUGAUGGAGAUAUCUACACAUCUGUACAUGUGAAGGCAGAUUGGCUUGGAACACAUAGAGGAGGUGGAAGGGGAGAGAAACAGCAGAGGCUGUGCGUAUAUUCCUAGCCCCCUAGCUGCAGCAGCUAAACUUGGAAUUCCAGAGAGCCCAGUGGCAGGAGGAGAAGCAGCAGACAUGACUUCAGCCUCCUGGCCACAUCAGUAUCUAUGGGCAUAGGAAACUGGCCAGCUGCACUGAUGUGACCAAGACUUCAGAACCUCUAACUGUGGUGGUACCCACAACACUCUUCCCCAGUUCAUCCACCGUAGCAGAGCCUUCAAGCCAUACAAAGCCAGACAUGGUGGAGGUGCCCAUGACCCUAGCUGCCCCAACCCAUUCCCUCCCCUCACUGCAGUGACAAUGCCUGCAACCCAGGCAACCUUGGAUAUGGCAAAGGUGCCCACCAUCCCAGGGCCCCUGCUGGCUACUCUAGCAACAGCAGCAUCACAAGCAGCAGCAAGGCACCAAUAAUCCCAGGAAUGCAAUCCGCUAUAUAACAAGGUCUCAAAUGAUACCUCUAGCAGAGGCAGUGGAGGAUGGAAGGUGCUGAUUCUUAAAUAUAGCCACAGCAGCUCAGGUAAGAGAAACCAAAAACUUGUACUAUAGCUCCACCUACUGAAAAAUAAAAGAAAGGUCUUCUAGUGAUCAAUCUGUUAAAUUGUUAAAAUCGAAGUAAACAAAGCUUUACCUAAAUAAGCAAGGUGUUCACUACUUUAAAUGCACUAGUAGAGACCAAAUCAUCAAGCACCAUUUAAAAAAUGGUAACCCAGUAUCACAAAAAGAAAAUGACAAUUGUACAGAAACUAAAGUCACAGAAGAUUGUAAUCUGUUAGAGAACUCAAAAUAGCUGCCGUGAAGAAACUCAACAAGCUACAAGAAAACACAGGAAAGGGAGUUCCCGUCGUGGCGCAGUGGUUAACGAAUCCGACUAGGAACCAUGAGGUUGCAGGUUCGAUCCCUGGCUUCACUCAGUGGGUUAAGGAUCUGGCAUUGCUGUGAGCUGUGGUGUAGGUUGCAGACACAGUUAGGAUCUGGCGUUUCUGUGCCUGUGGCGUAGGCCAGCAGCUACAGCUCUAAUUAAACCCCAGCCUGGGAAC